AGCAGGAAGUAAUUCUAUAUUGAAGCCCAUAUGGUGUCACGUGUAGAUUGAGAAUCACCAUGUCUGCUGAAUUAUGUUAUCACUGACUUCGAAGUUAUCAUUGUGAAGCAGCAGCUAUUGCCAGGAAUAGUAAAUCAUAUCUCAUGCUUUAUAAGAAAUGGUAUUAUGGAUUUUCCAAAGAACGUGUUUUUAAUAGAAGGCACAAGUCGUCGCCCAUACCAUAUACAGGCAAAGUAUGGAUUUAUUUGUAUUAUUUACUUUUGGCCGUUUUAAUUUGAUUUCAAAAUAUUUAUUGAACGCUCACGACAUGAAAAUGAAUAAGCCCAAUCCCUAUCUUAAAUAGCUUGAAAUUUAUUGGGGAGAAAGCCGUGUCCACAAGUAUCUGAAGUCUGAAGCCAAGUGUCCCGUGUGUUAGGAUGGAUACGAGUCAUUUGGGGGCAGUGAGGGGAAGGAACAAUUAAGUUCAGACUGGUAAUGGGGAAGAAAAGAGGACUUACCAGAGGAAGGGGCAUUUGACCUAGUUUUUGACAACUAUGCAGGUUUGGUUUUGUUUUGUUUCGGGAAGUAAAUAAGCAAAGACAUUUGAUACCAGGAAAGUCAUAAAAAUAAAUGCCAGUUUCGGGAACUGGGAGGUAAUUAGGUGUUGUUGUUGAUCAGUGCUUCUUAAUCCUGGCCGCACAUUGGAAUCACAUGGGGAGCUUUAAAAAUACUGGUGCCUGAGUUUCACCCCCAAAGAUCCUUCGGUAUGGCUUAUACAUUGGGAGUUUUACAAGGUCCCCAAAUUAUUCUAAUGUGCGGCCAAGGUUGAGAACCUCUGCUGUAGAGAGUACUAUACUUCAUAUGGUACUAUGAAGCAGGGAAAAAAAAGGAAAUGAAACCUAUUUUUCUUGGGCUGAAUUAUCCUUGUAUAAUUAUCCCUGAAUUAUCCCUGAAAAAAAAUGAGAUCCUCAUUUGCGAUUACAGGAGACUUGCGAUUACAGAAACAUGACCAGUGUCCAGGACUCACUGUGAGAAAGGACAGGGUUGGAGGUGAAGGGGAGAGACUUAGAGUCAAGAAGCAAGGGAAUAUUUAAGAAAAGAGAAGUCGGUACUUCAUUUUUCCUAAUGGCUGUAUUCAACCUGGAUUCUGAAAGUAUGGAAACUUGACCUAAAACUACUCCUUUUCCCCCUUUCUUCCCACCAACUAUCAAAUGUGUACGUGGGAUAGGGUACACACAUGGGAAAGCGAGUCCACUGAAGGGGGGCAGGGUUCUUUCAGGGUAGAUGGAGGGAGAGGACAGGCACUGACAUCAUCCCUCACCCCUUCGAUCGCCCAAGCUCAAGGCUUCCUGUCAUCUUCCUCCCCAGGCACGUCCUAUCAAGUCUGCCUGACAAUAGCUCCCACGUUCUGUCAGAUGAUGGCCUUCUUCAGGAAACCUCUCCAUCCAAAUGAAACCUCUCCAUCCAAAAGUUGGGUGAAUAAAAGUGCCUGUGAAAGAAUCUUCUUCUCUUAACAGGAAAUGUAUCAACAUCAACGAAUUGAUCUACCUCUGAAAUAUUCCACGAUGAACCAUCACUCAUGGGAACCAUCUUAUUUCUACACAUAGAGAAGUACUUUGCCAACCACAAGAAAAUGAUGCACUCACCAUGAUAAAGAAUGAGGCCCCUGUCAUAAGGAAACCUGGGAGAGCGAAGAAAGGCCUGAUUGAUCACAAGGUCCUAUCAAAUGUCAAAGCUGGCCCUGGCUGACCUCCCAUCUAUUCAGAGCUGCUUUGAUUUAAUCUCCAAACUGGCUGCUUCUCUAGGCUAGAAGAAGAUUGAAAGUUUCAAUAAAGAAAGGUGAUGAUAAUGUCUUCCUGGAACCCUUGGCUAAGAUGGAUUGGCAAAGAAUAAAAUGAUCUAGGUUCUAAAAUUUGGUUUUGAUACUAAC
This is a long non-coding RNA of Prionailurus viverrinus (fishing cat), 1909 nucleotides long. RefSeq lists it as uncharacterized. The transcript is spliced from 4 exons. Lineage: Eukaryota; Metazoa; Chordata; Mammalia; Carnivora; Felidae. The record is from RefSeq and is a predicted model, not a curated record.